Molecule: non-coding RNA, 112 nt
Organism: Arabis alpina (gray rockcress)
Lineage: Eukaryota; Viridiplantae; Streptophyta; Magnoliopsida; Brassicales; Brassicaceae
Source: Rfam
AAUCGUGGUGAUGACUUCGUAAUAUUCAAGCUCAACAGACCGGAAUGCAGGAUUUUUCUUGUUUUCUCAUGGAAAGUUUUGCGUGUCGAUAAUCCCGCUGAACUGAGCGAUC